Molecule: ribosomal RNA, 329 nt
Filed under: uncultured eukaryote
Lineage: Eukaryota
Description: partial 18S ribosomal RNA
Rfam family: Eukaryotic small subunit ribosomal RNA
Source: RNAcentral
GCCUUAGAUGUUCUGGGCCGCACGCGCGCUACAAUGAUGAAUUCAACGAGUUUAUAACCUUGGUUGAAAAGCCUGGGUAAUCUUUUGAACUUUCGUCGUGAUGGGGCUAGACCCUUGCAAUUAUUGGUCUCCAACGAGGAAUUCCUAGUAAACGCAAGUCAUCAGCUUGCAUUGAUUACGUCCCUGCCCUUUGUACACACCGCCCGUCGCACCUACCGAUUGAAUGGUCCGGUGAAAUCUUCGGAUUGAGACUUUGAUUUCUUCACGGAAAACGCUGUUUUAAAAAGUUGAUUAAACCUUACCAUUUAGAGGAAGGUGAAGUCGUAACA